GACGAACGCUGGCGGCGUGCUUAACACAUGCAAGUCGAACGGAAAGGCCCUGCUCUUGCGGGGUGACCGAGUGGCGAUCGGGUGUGUAACACGCGAGUAACCUGCCCCUGACCUUGGGAUAACUUUAGGAAACUGGGGCUAAUACCGGAUAGGAGCUCCUGCUGCAUGGUGGGGGCUGGCAAGUUUCGGUGGUUGGGGAUGGACUCGCGGCUUAUCCGCUUGUUGGUGGGGUAGUGGCCUACCAAGGCUGUGACGGGUAGCCGGCCUGAGAGGGUGACCGGCCACAUUAGGCCGGAGAUACGGACCAGGAGCGAACGGGAGGCAGCAGUGGUGAAUGUUGCGGAAUGGGCGGGAGCCUGACUCAGCUGCGCCGCGUGUGUGAUGACGGCCAUCGGGUGGUUGUCCGCGGUCGCGUGUGAUGGAGCUUGAGUGACGGUAAUGAGUAAUGAAGCACCGGCUAACUACGUG
This 468-nucleotide ribosomal RNA is filed under the name uncultured bacterium. RNAcentral describes it as "partial 16S ribosomal RNA". It matches the Rfam family "Bacterial small subunit ribosomal RNA", at positions 28 to 507 of the family's 1533-position model. The record is from RNAcentral.